RNAcentral lists this ribosomal RNA (253 nucleotides) under uncultured bacterium. RNAcentral describes it as "partial 16S ribosomal RNA". It matches the Rfam family "Bacterial small subunit ribosomal RNA", at positions 524 to 776 of the family's 1533-position model. The record is from RNAcentral.
UACGAAGGGGGCUAGCGUUGCUCGGAAUCACUGGGCGUAAAGCGCACGUAGGCGGCUUUUUAAGUCAGGGGUGAAAUCCUGGAGCUCAACUCCAGAACUGCCUUUGAUACUGAGAAGCUUGAGUCCGGGAGAGGUGAGUGGAACUGCGAGUGUAGAGGUGAAAUUCGUAGAUAUUCGCAAGAACACCAGUGGCGAAGGCAGCUCACUGGCCCGGUACUGACGCUGAGGUGCGAAAGCAUGGGGAGCGAACAGG